RNAcentral lists this ribosomal RNA (253 nucleotides) under uncultured bacterium. RNAcentral's name for it is "partial 16S ribosomal RNA". It matches the Rfam family "Bacterial small subunit ribosomal RNA", at positions 524 to 776 of the family's 1533-position model. The record is from RNAcentral.
UACGUAGGGUGCAAGCGUUGUCCGGAAUUAUUGGGCGUAAAGAGCUCGUAGGCGGUUCGUCGCGUCGGCUGUGAAAUCCCGAGGCUCAACCUCGGGUCUGCAGUCGAUACGGGCGGACUGGAGUUCGGCAGGGGAGACUGGAAUUCCUGGUGUAGCGGUGAAAUGCGUAGAUAUCUGGAGGAACACCGGUGGCGAAGGCGGCAUCCUGGACCAAUAUUGACGCUGAGGAGCGAAAGCGUGGGGAGCGAACAGG